GUAGGUGGCAAGCGUUGUCCGGAAUUAUUGGGGCGUAAAGCGCGCGCAGGCGGUCCUUUAAGUCUGAUGUGAAAGCCCACGGGCUCAACCGUGGGAGGGGUCAUUGGAAACUGGGGGACUUGAGUGCAGAAGAGGAGAGUGGAAUUCCACGUGUAGCGGUGAAAUGCGUAGAGAUGUGGAGGAACACCAGUGGCGAAGGCGACUCUCUGGUCUGUAACUGACGCUGAGGCGCGAAAGCGUGGGGAGCGAACAGGAUUAGAUACCCUGGUAGUCCACGCCGUAAACGAUGAGUGCUAAGUGUUAGAGGGUUUCCGCCCUUUAGUGCUGCAGCUAACGCAUUAAGCACUCCGCCUGGGGAGUACGGUCGCAAAGACUG
RNAcentral lists this ribosomal RNA (376 nucleotides) under uncultured organism. RNAcentral describes it as "partial 16S ribosomal RNA". It matches the Rfam family "Bacterial small subunit ribosomal RNA", at positions 527 to 896 of the family's 1533-position model. The record is from RNAcentral.